UAGGGAAUCUUCGGCAAUGGACGAAAGUCUGACCGAGCAACGCCGCGUGAGUGAAGAAGGUUUUCGGAUCGUAAAACUCUGUUGUUAGAGAAGAACAAGGACGUUAGUAACUGAACGUCCCCUGACGGUAUCUAACCAGAAAGCCACGGCUAACUACGUGCCAGCAGCCGCGGUAAUACGUAGGUGGCAAGCGUUGUCCGGAUUUAUUGGGCGUAAAGCGAGCGCAGGCGGUUUCUUAAGUCUGAUGUGAAAGCCCCCGGCGCAACCGGGGAGGGUCAUUGGAAACUGGGAGACUUGAGUGCAGAAGAGGAGAGUGGAAUUCCAUGUGUAGCGGUGAAAUGCGUAGAUAUAUGGAGGAACACCAGGGGCGAAGGCGGCUCUCUGGUCUGUAACUGACGCUGAGGCUCGAAAGCGUGGGGAGCAAACAGG
This 429-nucleotide ribosomal RNA is filed under the name Gemmatimonadota bacterium. Its description in RNAcentral is "Gemmatimonadetes bacterium partial 16S ribosomal RNA". It matches the Rfam family "Bacterial small subunit ribosomal RNA", at positions 355 to 776 of the family's 1533-position model. The record is from RNAcentral. Lineage: Bacteria; Pseudomonadati; Gemmatimonadota.